GGUUCUCGUGAUUAAGAGUAGAAUGGUUAUGUGGAAUGAUUAGUUGUGUUGGUUGCAUUAAUUAACAUAGGAGAUCGAACUAAGUAUUAUGCCAUAGAAAAAUUAGGCUCUGAGAAAAAUGAUUUCCAAUGCUAUAUGAUGGGAGGUCAAACCAUUCAACGUCUGAUCUAAAAGGACCGAUCGAUCAAAUUUUUGCGGCUUUUAAAGCAAGGAUGAUCACUAUCGCACCAAUAAAUCUGAACGAUUUGAUGGUGCCAUGGGGUCAUGCAUUUGGGCCGCUGAGGAAAUCUUCUUGGUUUAUUUCCGGUUCGUUCCCGGCCCAUUAAAUCCCUAAGCGGUAACCGCCUUGCUCUCUUCCGGCUCCCCCAUCUCCCCGAGAAACCAAGAAGGCCGCCGGUUCCGGCUUCUCUUCUCGUCAUUGGCUUGGAGUCUGUCAACAUGGUGGGAUAACAGAGGUGUCUGUGUUCUGUUCUUCACCAGGUCAGCACCAUGAUGAGGCAUACUAACCAAACAUGUCCAAUGGGAUGUAGUACCUGGACAAGGUCUAAUAUGGUGCCAGAGCAAGCCGUUGUUGGGAAAAGGGUGUAUAUGACAUGACUUUCAUACCAUGCAAAAGGACGGAGCGGGAUCAUGGUGAGACCCAAAUGCCAGUUGACGGUGGUGGUGAGGGAAACCACUCCUGAAGAGGAAGCAAAGAUUGCCAAACUCCAAGUCAGCAGGAAACUCACAAGGCGCGAGAGGCAGCUCCCGAAGAAGAAUCAAAGAUUGCCAAGUUCCAAGUCAUCGAUUUCAAGAAACUCGCAAGGCGCAAGGGGCGGCUCGUUUCACAUCAGCUCUAUAGAGACCACACCAAGGUGGGAUAGGAAAGGGAUGGAUGCUGCUGCACUGUCAUACUGCCAUGAUUGUGUUCUGAUGUUUUACAUCAUGGACAAAAUUUGGCAUGUUUCGACUUGCACAGCGAUCAUCACAGUUCGAAAGAAAGAAAAAAAAGGAAAUAAUCUUUGUAGCAGCAGCUUGUUUGGCUGCAUUAUAUCAACCAUGUUUGUAUCUCUCGUUUUUUUUUUUUUUUUUUUUUUCAUGUUGUAGUUAGAUAUCAUCCUUGCCAAGCAAAAUGCUGUAGCAUUUUUUUACUGAUACAGGGUACCCCUAUUAGAUGUCAUGAUUUCACUUUUGAAUUGUUUGA
Molecule: long non-coding RNA, 1183 nt
Organism: Musa acuminata AAA Group (dessert banana)
Lineage: Eukaryota; Viridiplantae; Streptophyta; Magnoliopsida; Zingiberales; Musaceae
Exons: 3
Source: RefSeq, a predicted model, not a curated record